AGUGAACGCUGGCGGUAGGCCUAACACAUGCAAGUCGAACGGCAGCACAGUAAGAGCUUGCUCUUACGGGUGGCGAGUGGCGGACGGGUGCGGAAUACAUCGGAAUCUACUUUUUCGUGGGGGAUAACGUAGGGUAACUUACGCUAAUACCGCAUACGACCUACGGGUGAAAGCAGGGGAUCUUCGGACCUUGCGCGAUUGAAUGAGCCGAUGUCGGAUUAGCUAGUUGGCGGGGUAAAGGCCCACCAAGGCGACGAUCCGUAGCUGGUCUGAGAGGAUGAUCAGCCACACUGGAACUGAGACACGGUCCAGACUCCUACGGGAGGCAGCAGUGGGGAAUAUUGGACAAUGGGCGCAAGCCUGAUCCAGCCAUACCGCGUGGGUGAAGAAGGCCUUCGGGUUGUAAAGCCCUUUUGUUGGGAAAGAAAAGCAGCAGGUUAAUACCCCGCUGUUCUGACGGUACCCAAAGAAUAAGCACCGGCUAACUUCGUG
This 492-nucleotide ribosomal RNA is filed under the name uncultured bacterium. RNAcentral describes it as "partial 16S ribosomal RNA". It matches the Rfam family "Bacterial small subunit ribosomal RNA", at positions 29 to 507 of the family's 1533-position model. The record is from RNAcentral.